CUCCAGCUCCAGGCGGACCACGGUCUGGCGGAGAGAGUUCCGGUCUUGGCAGAUCACACACAGGGUGGCGCCUUGAAAGGACAGUGACAGAGGCAAGGAGAGAAAGGGUCAUCCCUGGAGGCCUGGCAGAGGUGUGCAACCUUUUCACAUUGAGACAUCACAUCGCUGACAUUUACAAGGCUCCUGCUUUCGGGUUUGAUACCUGGGCAACCUGGGUUUGGCCAGAGCACCUGCCUGUGAGUGCCACUUACACUCACCUUGGAUGUGAUGUGGAAGGACCUGUGCCCACC
Molecule: long non-coding RNA, 290 nt
Organism: Peromyscus californicus insignis
Lineage: Eukaryota; Metazoa; Chordata; Mammalia; Rodentia; Cricetidae
Exons: 3
Source: RefSeq, a predicted model, not a curated record